RNAcentral lists this ribosomal RNA (440 nucleotides) under uncultured bacterium. RNAcentral's name for it is "partial 16S ribosomal RNA". It matches the Rfam family "Bacterial small subunit ribosomal RNA", at positions 338 to 795 of the family's 1533-position model. The record is from RNAcentral.
CCUACGGUAGGCAGCAGUGGGGAAUAUUGCACAAUGGGGGAAACCCUGAUGCAGCGCCGCCGCGUGCGUGCAGAAGUAUUUCGGUAUGUAAAGCUCUAUCAGCAGGGAAGAAACUGACGGUCCCUGAUUAAGAAGCCCCGGCUAACUACGUGCCAGCAGCCGCGGUAAUACGUAGGGGGCAAGCGUUAUCCGGAUUUACUGGGUGUAAAGUGAGCGUAGACGGUGAUGCAGGUCAGAAGUGAAGGCCCGGGGCUCAACUCCGGGCCUGCAUUUGAAACUGUGUGACUGGAGUGCAGGAGAGGUAAGCGGAAUUCCUGGGGUAGCGGUGAAAUGCGUAGAUAUCAGGAGGAACACCAGUGGCGAAGGCGGCGUACUGGACUGUAACUGACGUUGAGGCUCGAAAGCGUGGGGAGCAAACAGGAUUAGAUACCCGAGUAGUC